UGGGGAAUUUUCCGCAAUGGGCGAAAGCCUGACGGAGCAAUACCGCGUGAGGGAGGAAGGCUCUUGGGUUGUAAACCUCUUUUCUCAGGGAAGAACACAAUGACGGUACCUGAGGAAUAAGCAUCGGCUAACUCCGUGCCAGCAGCCGCGGUAAU
Molecule: ribosomal RNA, 155 nt
Filed under: uncultured soil bacterium
Lineage: Bacteria
Description: partial 16S ribosomal RNA
Rfam family: Bacterial small subunit ribosomal RNA
Source: RNAcentral